CACACACACACACACACACACACUUUCCCAAGCACCCCACUGGGCCCCAUUGCUUGUGGGCACCAGGCCCAUUAAUUCUGAACGGCUUCCUGAUACCUUGCAGCACAGGCCCUCUGCUGCGUCUGCACAGCGAAAGGCCCGGCAGGAGCCACGGAAGCGGAGAGGAAAGAGCUUGUCUGGCUGCAUAAUGGCACAUUACGAGAUCAAAGGCCCUCCAAAUCAGCGCUACCUGUGGAAACCCUCACCGGGUUGGUGGGAUGUGAGGCUCCAGGAAACAUCAGUGUGAGUGAAAGACGAAAAAAGAAGUCAGGAAACUGCCGGUCCUUGUUAACACUGGAGUAAUCAUACCGGAAAAUCCUCCUGAUCUCUUGGCACUUCUGUGAGAUGAGAAAUUCCAGCACAGCGGGGAGGAAUUUGGGGUCUUUUCUAGGGUUUGUAGACUGAGAAACAAAAAGUGGGCAGGAGGAAAGAAUUAAUAGUCCACCAUGCAAAACCAGCCAUGGGAUUGUCUACCUAUGCGAGAAGGAGCAUCAAGCAGAAAAACAACUGGCUUCAAAUGGUACAGAUAAUGCUUAAUAUAUCCUACAGCGUCUGGAUCUGGAAGGACUAUAUAUCUACAUGUAUAAGGACUAUGGGCAUAGUUGACCUUCAGCCAUACUUUUUGGGGUCUAGAACACAGACAGUUUCUUCAGUCAUUGUGUCUUCCAUUAUAUAUGUUUAAUUUAUCCGUGUUUCAUGAAGUUGUGUGUGUGUGAAUAGACGCUUAUACACGGUAUAUACACUA
Hemicordylus capensis (graceful crag lizard) is the source of this 784-nucleotide long non-coding RNA. RefSeq lists it as uncharacterized. The record is from RefSeq and is a predicted model, not a curated record. NCBI's taxonomy places the organism in Eukaryota, Metazoa, Chordata, Lepidosauria, Squamata, Cordylidae. The transcript is spliced from 2 exons.